CACUUAAAACAUUGUAAGCUUGUAACUAGAAAACAAGUGGUUGGUUUAAAUUGGCCAUAAGCAGCAAAGAGUUCACAUAUGCUCCAAUCAUUCACUAAUCACUAUCCACCAGAAAUCACUAUAUAACAUUAUCAAGUUCUCAGCGAGAUCCUUCCAGCCUGAAUCCUAUUGAGGAGCUGACAAAAUGGCCGGAGUUUCCAUUCCAUCGGCAGAUGUAUUGCUAUCAAGGCGUGUCCAGGAAAUGGUUCUCAAAGGUGAAGAGCCACCACCACUCUAUAUUUGCAGAGACGGUGAUACUGAAGAUGUUUCUUCUGCCUUAGCUUCAAUCCCUGUCAUCGACCUCAGUCUCCUCUCAUCUUCGGCAACAAUCUUUGAACAAGAAGAAGAACUACAGAAACUUAAAUCAGCACUGUGUUCAUGGGGCUGCUUUCAGGCAAUAGGACAUGGCAUUUCAACUUCAUUUCUAGACGAGAUACGUCAAGUAACAAGGGAUUUCUUCCAGCAGCCAAUGGAAGAGAAGAAUAAGGUUGCUAAAGGAGUUAAAGACUUUGAAGGGUAUGGAGCUGAUCCUGUCCCAGAAGAAGGUCAGUCUCUUGACUGGUCUGAUCGCUUGUUUGUUAAUGUGUACCCAGAAGAUACAAGGAAGAGCAAAUUUUGGCCAGAAAGCCCAGCAGCCUUCAGGUACUUGCAAUUGUGCAGAGAUGUUCUAGAAGAAUACACAGUCAAGAUGAAGACAUUCACAGAGAUUGUUUCCAAAGCCAUGGCAAAAUCAUUGAGUUUAGAAGAAAAUUGCUUCCUGAAUCAGUUUGGUGAAAGAGGACUUCUGAAAACACGUUUCAACUACUACUCAUGUUGUGAAAGGCCUGAUCUUGUUUUAGGCCUAAAGCCCCAUGCAGAUAAUUCAGGAUACACCAUCAUUUUGCAAGAUGAUGUAGAAGGCCUUCAAGUCCACAAAGAUGGGAAGUGGUUUACCGUUCCCACAAUCUCUCAUGCUCUCCUUGUUCUCAUGGGUGAUCAAAUGGAGAUAAUGACUAAUGGAAUGUACAAGAGCCCUGUACAUAGGGUACUGACCAACACUGAGAGGGAGAGGAUUUCUGUGGCUAUGUUCUAUCACCCUGAACCGAAAAAAGAGAUUGGACCUGAAGAAGGAUUGGUCAACCAGGAAAGGCCAAAGUUAUUCAAGAAGGUGAAAGGCUAUGCUAAUACACACUGGGAAUAUUACCGGCGAGGAAUGAGAGCUCUUCAUGUGGCAAAAGUCUAGAAUUGUACUAUCUUAGUCUUGCGUGCUUUAUGAACAGAUAAGGCAUUUCACCUAUGUUACUUCAGUGUAUUUGUUUUGUGCAGAUAUCAGGUUACAGGUAACUAAGGAAUUGAAUCCUAGGCACCAAACGAAGGGAGUAUUAUUUCCAUGUAUCAAAAGGGGAGCUACUAUGAACUUGGCCAGUGGGCUGUGGGACUUACAAGAGUGUGUUUGGUAGGGUGGAAAGUAAGAUUGAUAGAAAAUGGUAGAGAGAAAAUACAAGAAGGCCACCAUGUGUGGCGAAGAAAGGAGCAAACACGAGCGACUCAACUGCCAUGAGCUUAAUAAGGAUGUUGAGUGAUGGGCCGGAGGUGUCCUUGAGUGGGUCACCAAUGGUGUCACCAAUCACAGCUGAAACUAACAAAAAUGCUAACUGCAAUGGCAAAGAUUGGAAUGAUGACAGAUUUGUAUCCUAGAGCAAGGCCAAAUAUAACAUUAGUGGCAGCUCCAGUCCUGCAGGAAUCGGCAACAUCUUGCACGGGGCUGCAAUAAGGAACUUUGUGGGUAAGUAUAUGCAAGUAAUAAGCAAAAAGAAAGAAUCAUUGUCAUGUUAAUAAUUUUAAUACCUGUAGGCAUUGCUAGUAUAGUACUCUGUAACAAACCCAAUAACAAGUCCAGCCCAAAGACCAACACCCACGCACAAGAAGAGCUCCCUGUUAGCAUGUUGGAUGUCAGCAGUUGCAUAUCAAUAAUGAGAUGUUCAUUAUUUCAUA
This is an RNA transcript of Quercus robur (English oak), 2013 nucleotides long. It is a transcript of the gene named protein SRG1-like, with no coding region annotated. NCBI's taxonomy places the organism in Eukaryota, Viridiplantae, Streptophyta, Magnoliopsida, Fagales, Fagaceae. The record is from RefSeq and is a predicted model, not a curated record. The transcript has 5 exons.